This 81-nucleotide transfer RNA is filed under the name Pinus taeda (loblolly pine). Its description in RNAcentral is "tRNA-Leu". Lineage: Eukaryota; Viridiplantae; Streptophyta; Pinopsida; Pinales; Pinaceae. The record is from RNAcentral.
CGGUAGGGGCUUGCUUGACGCUAGGAAAGCAAGGACCCGUUAGGGGGCUCACUAUUCAUAUGGUGAGGGUGAGCCUGCCGA